UCGAGCGAGUCUGCCUUGAAGAUCGGAGUGCUUGCACUCUGUGAAACAAGAUACAGGCUAGCGGCGGACGGGUGAGUAACACGUGGGUAACCUGCCCAAGAGAUCGGGAUAACACCUGGAAACAGAUGCUAAUACCGGAUAACAACAGAUGAUGCCUAUCAACUGUUUAAAAGAUGGUUCUGCUAUCACUCUUGGAUGGACCUGCGGUGCAUUAGCUAGUUGGUAGGGUAACGGCCUACCAAGGCGAUGAUGCAUAGCCGAGUUGAGAGACUGAUCGGCCACAUUGGGACUGAGACACGGCCCAAACUCCUACGGGAGGCAGCAGUAGGGAAUCUUCCACAAUGGACGCAAGUCUGAUGGAGCAACGCCGCGUGAGUGAAGAAGGGUUUCGGCUCGUAAAGCUCUGUUGUUGGUGAAGAAGGACAGGGGUAGUAACUGACCUUUGUUUGACGGUAAUCAAUUAGAAAGUCACGGCUAACUACGUGCCAGCAGCCGCGGUAAUACGUAGGUGGCAAGCGUUGUCCGGAUUUAUUGGGCGUAAAGCGAGUGCAGGCGGCUCGAUAAGUCUGAUGUGAAAGCCUUCGGCUCAACCGGAGAAUUGCAUCAGAAACUGUCGAGCUUGAGUACAGAAGAGGAGAGUGGAACUCCAUGUGUAGCGGUGAAAUGCGUAGAUAUAUGGAAGAACACCGGUGGCGAAGGCGGCUCUCUGGUCUGUUACUGACGCUGAGGCUCGAAAGCAUGGGUAGCGAACAGGAUUAGAUACCCUGGUAGUCCAUGCCGUAAACGAUGAGUGCUAAGUGUUGGGAGGUUUCCGCCUCUCAGUGCUGCAGCUAACGCAUUAAGCACU
RNAcentral lists this ribosomal RNA (847 nucleotides) under uncultured bacterium. RNAcentral's name for it is "bacterial SSU rRNA". It matches the Rfam family "Bacterial small subunit ribosomal RNA", at positions 62 to 868 of the family's 1533-position model. The record is from RNAcentral.